UAAAACAGAAUCAAAUCAAAUUAAUAACCCCUUCUCUCUCUCUUUCCCAAUCACGUUUUCCCUCCCCCCUCUCUCUAACCCUAAUAAUACGUCGUCGAUAUCACCAUCAUUGCAGGUCGUCACCGUCGCCGCCAUCCCUAAUCAGUACUGUCGUCACCGUCGCCACCGUCCCUAAUCAGUACCGCCGUUGCCAUCGCGUCCACAACCAAUCAUUUGAGAUGGCAGGUGAAAAGAGGAGUAAGAAAACAAAGAAAGCUAAGGAGACGAGGGUUCCCGGAGACCACCAGAAAACCUUGCGAUUAGAGAUAGAAGCCCGUCGCCACGUCUCCCACCACGCGGCGCUCCAUUGCCUCAUGAUCCCCUCAUGAAUGGCAUUUCAUAUAGUCUUCCACCUCCAUAUGAUUUGUGGAUUGUGUAAGUGUUUUGUGGAUGUUUGCGAAGGGUGAAAUAGUCUAAUGUUGUAUAUUAACUUAGUGUAGACUAGUUUAAUGUUUUGUGGAUGUUUACAAUUGUUGAAGUAGUUUAAUGUUGUUUUAAUGUUUGCGAAAGUUGAAGUAGCUUAAUGUCUCUUGUGAAUGUUUGAUUGAUAUUUUUAUUCAACUUUGAAGUAGUUUCGAAUUGAAUUUGAUGUAUUGGUGGUUGUAAUAUAUGUAUUGUAAUAGUAGCUUAAUGUUUUACGUA
Molecule: long non-coding RNA, 681 nt
Organism: Lycium barbarum (goji berry)
Lineage: Eukaryota; Viridiplantae; Streptophyta; Magnoliopsida; Solanales; Solanaceae
Exons: 2
Source: RefSeq, a predicted model, not a curated record